Oryzias melastigma (Indian medaka) is the source of this 972-nucleotide non-coding RNA. Lineage: Eukaryota; Metazoa; Chordata; Actinopteri; Beloniformes; Adrianichthyidae. The record is from the annotation of a RefSeq genome assembly.
UUUAAUUCAGUAUUUGUAACCUGACUUUUGCAUGAGGAGGUCUUUACAAACCUCCUUCUUCAUAAACUCACCAAAGAAACAAGAACAGGUUCUGACAGAAACACUGAAACUCUUUUCUUCAUGUUUGGAACUUUACUUUGAAAAACUGAAAGACAAUAACUUCAAAUGGAAAUGAAACAAACCUGGAGUUUAGUGUUUUUACUUUUCCUACAAGGAGUCUGGAGUCAGAUCAAACUGGAUCAGAGUCCUAAUGUGGUGAAAAGACCUGGAGAAACUGUGAAAAUGUCAUGUGUCAUUUCUGGUUUUGAUAUGACAGAGUACUACAUCCACUGGAUCAGACAGAAACCAGGCAGAGCUCUGGAGUGGAUCGGAAGGAUGGAUGCUGGAAAAAACUCUCCUAUUUAUGCCAGUUCUUUUCAGGAUCGUUUCCUGAUGACUGAAGUUGUGUCCAGCAGCUCUCAGUAUCUGGAGAUCAGCAGCCUGACAGCAGAAGAUUCUGCUGUUUACUUCUGUGCACGAGAAAGCACAGUGACUGAAGACAGUGAAGCAGCUGCACAAAAACCUCCAACUGCAUCAAACAUCAGAGUGAGGACUUCCGGGAUGACGCCACACUGAGAGGAUCACGCUUCAAGAGCUCCCGACCGGGCUUUCCUAAAUUUAGUAUUUUAAAGUUUAUCUAUCAGUCCCCAGCGUUCCACGGAACCGCCAGAGAUGCUUUAAUAUGUCUACGAAGGAUAAUUCAUCGGAUGGUGCUGAAAAGAAAACCCAAAGAAACACUCGACGUCAGGCCAACGCUGAAGCUAGCACAGCUAAAGAUGUAGGCAACGUGGAUACUAGCCAGGCUGGCGCAAACGUGAUAGUGGAUUUCACCACUAUGAUGGAGGAUAUCAAAAAGACAGUCGCAGCUGUGGUCGAGGAAAAGAUAUCUGUUAUUUCCAGCAAGCUGGACAUCAUACAAAAUACAUUGGAGGG